Chenopodium quinoa (quinoa) is the source of this 592-nucleotide long non-coding RNA. RefSeq lists it as uncharacterized. The record is from RefSeq and is a predicted model, not a curated record. The transcript has 2 exons. Lineage: Eukaryota; Viridiplantae; Streptophyta; Magnoliopsida; Caryophyllales; Amaranthaceae.
AAUUGCGUUAAUUUCAACAAGCCCACCCACCCAUACAUUAUUCUACUUUUCAUAUGUAAAUUUAGGCAAUUACUUUAUAUUUUAACAAAUCUAACCCUACUCAUAUCUUAUUCUAUCCGCAUCCUUUUUAUUUUACCUGAUUCAUUUCCCCAUUCUUUCUCUCCUCAUUGAACGGAAAAAUCCAAUCAUCCAUGGCAGCAACGAUUUUGUCACUCCCAAUACCUCCGAUUGCAACUCUAAAGUAUCGAGUUUGUUGUCAGUAUCAUGGGAGAUAGGAAAAAUCAGGUUUUGUUCUCAAAUUAAAUUCAUCUCUGACUAUUGAAAGUGUGAAGAAGACUUACUGAAGAAGAGAAACCUAUGGUGAAUGCGGCAGCAAGCGAUGAAAUCAUGUUACAAUAUGUCAAAUACUUGUGAAAUCAUUGUUAAAAAAUUGUAACUUUUUAAAUUGGUAGUAUCCUAGAUAUGUUUGUCAUUCGUGUUAUUCUUGUACAUAUAGGACACAAGGGUGUAUUUUACAUAGAAAAUAUUGAUUUUUUUUACUAAAUAUUAUAAAUACAAGCUUUUUUCAUCAGUAGAGUAAUUUUUAUUUUAA